RNAcentral lists this ribosomal RNA (473 nucleotides) under uncultured bacterium. Its description in RNAcentral is "bacterial SSU rRNA". It matches the Rfam family "Bacterial small subunit ribosomal RNA", at positions 56 to 507 of the family's 1533-position model. The record is from RNAcentral.
UGCAGUCGACGCGAACGAGUUCUUCGGAACUUUAGUAGAGUGGCGCACGGGUGAGUAACGCGUAAGUAAUCUACCCUCGCAUCUGGGAUAACCCACCGAAAGGUGUGCUAAUACCGGAUACGUCUAAGUUAAUAUCUUUUUUUUAGAGAAAGGUGGCCUCUGAUUCAAGCUACUGUGCGGGGAGGAGCUUGCGUACCAUUAGCUAGUUGGUAGGGUAACGGCCUACCAAGGCGACGAUGGUUAGCGGGUCUGAGAGGAUGAUCCGCCACACUGGAACUGAAACACGGACCAGACUCCUACGGGAGGCAGCAGUGAGGAAUAUUGCGCAAUGGGGGCAACCCUGACGCAGCGACGCCGCGUGGAUGAUGAAGGCCUUCGGGUUGUAAAAUCCUGUCAGAUGGGAAGAAGUGUGUAGUACUUAAUACGUGCUACAUUUGACGGUACCAUCAAAGGAAGCACCGGCUAACUCCGUG